Molecule: long non-coding RNA, 1401 nt
Filed under: Anas platyrhynchos platyrhynchos (common mallard)
Lineage: Eukaryota; Metazoa; Chordata; Aves; Anseriformes; Anatidae
Description: lncRNA (ENSAPLG00000018276.1)
Source: RNAcentral
GAAUUUGUACAGAAGCAACCUGCUUUCAGUCAGCAUGCAAAGAAGCACAGGAAAGCAGCAUCAGUUUGUGAGUACACCAGUGAAAACAGUACCCAUUAUUCAAAACAUCCUCGUGCCAUUAAGAAGAUGCAUCUGUUGGAAAGUCCAAGGACUUAAAAAGACCUGAAAAAGAAGGAGAGGAUGCCUUCUGGGGAAGAAGGAGACUCUCAAAAGCACAGCAGCAAGGUUCAGCUACCCAAGACUUUCAGAUCUCAGAAGGCGUCUUGAAAAAUCAUCCUGAUCUUACUUGGUUCACGACUGCAUGCAAACACCUUUAAAAAGAAGGCUUAAAGCUGCCAGCAAGAACAACGCCGAGAUUCUCUGGACCUGGAGCAAGGGAGAAGCCCCAGCGAACCAUCAAACUUGUCCUAGGAGCCAAUGGAUAUUCCUCUUCUGCUGCAGCUUUUUGUACAGCUUGGUUUCAUUCCACAAAGCUGCAAGAAAGCUCAGUAGAAAUUCUGAAACUGCCUGUGAGGGACCAGCUCAUGAUCCCAACCACCAACACUCAGGAGAAGACAGAAAAGAUGGCUUGGGGCUCUGUAGCAAUUUCCCCAGCAGGUCCUGGGAGCGUGUUCUGCAAAGUGCUAUUGAGCUAUCAUUGCCUUCUGCUUUCUCUGUGGGAUGAGGGGGACACUAAAUCCUUACAAUAAGGAGUCAAAAGUGUCCCCAGAUUGCAGCAGAAGAUGAUCAUCCUAACAAAACUACUCCAAACUGAAUGAGCCCACAGGAGAAAGCUGUAACCCUUCAGUAACCUCAUGUGAGCAACCGAUGUCAGAUUUUUUGAACAGAAGGACUUAAAUCAGCUCAAGCUGAAAGCUUAAUUCAGGGUCAAGCAACAGCCAGAAUCCCUGUUCUGUCCCUGUUCUCUCCUCCCAGACAAGUCUCUCCUUAAUAUAUGGCUCCCAAGGUAUCAAGAGCAUGAGGGAGCACACGUAACCAUCGGCUCUAGGUGUGUGGGACGAGAGGAAAAAGAGCCUCAUCCACAGACACUGCCGGAGAGCUGGCAGUGAGUCCUGUCAGGCAGAGUGAAAAUUUCAGACAUCAGCAGUUUGGUCUAAACCCACUGUUUUGCAUGUGGGUUUUACAAACCCAAGCUUGUACAACAGAUGUCACAAACAGUCCCCAGACAUGUCUGAGAGACAAUUCGCAGGCAGCUCCUGCCUUCCUACACAUUUUAUGGAUUAAAUCCAUAAUCCGAGAGUUUGAUCUGAGUCGUGUAAAUGUUUGAACUAAAUGCUUGAUUUGGACCUGGCUCCCCAUCCUGUCUUAUUUCUGCUUGGGUUUGUUGGGAAUACAAACCUUCAGACUGUGGAUGUGUCAUCUAUUUUGUUUCUGCUGACUUUGGCAUGUGAACGUAUCCUG